Molecule: ribosomal RNA, 512 nt
Filed under: uncultured bacterium
Lineage: Bacteria
Description: bacterial SSU rRNA
Rfam family: Bacterial small subunit ribosomal RNA
Source: RNAcentral
AACGAACGCUGGCGGCGUGCUUAACACAUGCAAGUCGAACGCGAAAGGGGACUUCGGUCCUGAGUAAAGUGGCGCACGGGUGAGUAACGCGUAGAUAACCUGUCUUCAUGUCUGGAAUAAUACGCCGAAAGGGGUACUAAUACCGGAUAUUCUUGCUUUUCAUAAGUUAUGCAAGCAAAGGUGGCCUCUGCAUAUGCUACUGCAUGAAGAGGGGUCUGCGUACCAUUAGCUAGUAGGUGGGGUAAUGGCCUACCUAGGCGACGAUGGUUAGCGGGUCUGAGAGGAUGAUCCGCCACACUGGCACUGGAACACGGGCCAGACUCUUACGGGAGGCAGCAGUGAGGAAUAUUGCGCAAUGGGGGAAACCCUGACGCAGCGACGCCGCGUGAGUUGAGGAAGGCCUUCGGGUCGUAAAGCUCUGUCAAGAGGAAAGAAGUGUACAAUGGCUAAUACCUGUUGUAUUUGACGGUACCUCUAAAGGAAGCACCGGCUAACUCCGUGCCAGCCGCCGC